GACGAACGCUGGCGGCGUGCCUAAUACAUGCCAGUAGAACGCUGAAGGAGGAGCUUGCUUCUCUGGAUGAGUUGCGAACGGGUGAGUAACGCGUAGGUAACCUGCCUGGUAGCGGGGGAUAACUAUUGGAAACGAUAGCUAAUACCGCAUAAUAGCAGUUGUUGCAUGACAACUGUUUGAAAGGUGCAAUUGCACCACUACCAGAUGGACCUGCGUUGUAUUAGCUAGUUGGUGGGGUAACGGCUCACCAAGGCGACGAUACAUAGCCGACCUGAGAGGGUGAUCGGCCACACUGGGACUGAGACACGGCCCAGACUCCUACGGGAGGCAGCAGUAGGGAAUCUUCGGCAAUGGACGGAAGUCUGACCGAGCAACGCCGCGUGAGUGAAGAAGGUUUUCGGAUCGUAAAGCUCUGUUGUAAGAGAAGAACGAGUGUGAGAGUGGAAAGUUCACACUGUGACGGUAUCUUACCAGAAAGGGACGGCUAACUACGU
RNAcentral lists this ribosomal RNA (494 nucleotides) under uncultured bacterium. Its description in RNAcentral is "partial 16S ribosomal RNA". It matches the Rfam family "Bacterial small subunit ribosomal RNA", at positions 28 to 506 of the family's 1533-position model. The record is from RNAcentral.